This 253-nucleotide ribosomal RNA is filed under the name uncultured prokaryote. Its description in RNAcentral is "partial 16S ribosomal RNA". It matches the Rfam family "Bacterial small subunit ribosomal RNA", at positions 525 to 777 of the family's 1533-position model. The record is from RNAcentral.
ACGGAGGGUGCAAGCGUUAUCCGGAUUCACUGGGUUUAAAGGGUGCGUAGGUGGCUUUGUAAGUCAGUGGUGAAAUCUCGGAGCUUAACUCCGAAACUGCCAUUGAUACUGCUUAGCUUGAAUCAGGUAGAGGUGGAUGGAAUAUUACAUGUAGCGGUGAAAUGCUUAGAUAUGUAAUAGAACACCGAUUGCGAAGGCAGUUCACUAUGCCUGCAUUGACACUGAGGCACGAAAGCGUGGGGAUCAAACAGGA